UACGAUGGGGUGUGAUUGGA
RNAcentral lists this non-coding RNA (20 nucleotides) under Arabidopsis thaliana (thale cress). The record is from RNAcentral. Lineage: Eukaryota; Viridiplantae; Streptophyta; Magnoliopsida; Brassicales; Brassicaceae.